AUGGCGGAGAUUGUGAUUCUUCUAGCCAUUAAAAAGAUCGGAAAUGCCUUGGCAAAUGGAGCGGCAGACCAGGUGAGCAUGCAGUUUGCGAAGUAUGGGAAGCAAAAAGUAGAUCUACAGGGCAGCAUGGGUCGUGUUGCAAGGGAGCUUCGCGUCAUACAUGAUGUUGUUUGUCAAAUGGACAUUCGAAACAGCAACAAUCAAGUAUAUGAGGGCUGGUUGGAGGAAGUACGGAAGGUAGCACAUGUGAUGGAAGACAUAGUGGAUGAGUACUUGUAUCUAAUUGAUCAGGAACAUGAUAUAGGGUAUUGCUUUUACCUGAAGCAAGGGUUCAGAAAACCAGGAUCUCUGCUUUAUUUGAACCAGAUAGCUUUCAAGGCGAAGGAAAUAGAGAAAGACCUUGCACACCUGUCAGAGAUAAAAAAUCGUUGGGUCCCCAUGAUACAGAACGGGGAUACUAGCAGCUCGAAUUACAUUGUCAAGAGGUCCCAAGAUCUAGCAAACAUUUCACGUUCCCUUGAUGAAGAAGAUUUAGUGGGGGUGGAUAAAAACAGAGAGAUACUUGAGCAGUGGUUGGCAGGUGCUGAUUUGGAGUGCUCCGUGAUCGCACUGCUUGGAAUGGGAGGACUUGGUAAAACAACUUUAGCUGCAAAUGUCUAUAGGAAGGAGAGAGAGCAAUUCCAGUGCCACGCGUGGGUCUCCAUUUCUCAAACUUAUUCUAGAGAAGAUGUCCUGAGGAAUACAUUCAAGGAACUUUUCAAAGAUAACGUCAGUGUUCUGUCUAAUACCGCGGCGAUGGACAUCACAUGCCUUGAAGAGACACUAAAAAGAUUUCUGGAGCAACAUAAGUAUUUGAUCAUACUGGAUGAUGUUUGGACUCCACAAGCAUUUGAUGACUUGUCUAGAGUGCUUAUUCAUAAUGACAAGGGCAGCAGAUUGAUAAUUACAACAAGGGAAGGUGAUGUUGCUGCACUUGCCUCUCCAGGACAUAUCUUAAAGCUAGAAGCUUUACCAGAAGACAAGGCAUGUGAUCUCUUUCAUAAGAAAGCCUUUCCAACAGAUAAAAAUCAUGAAUGUCCUGCGGAGUUGAAGUCUUUGUCCCACGAAAUAGUUAGCAAGUGCAAAGGCUUGCCUCUCAUUAUUGUGUCAAUUGGUAACCUCUUGCGUGUGCGUGAGAAAACUGUGGAAGAAUGGAGAAGAAUAAAUUACCAACUGAGUUGGGAGCUAAUUAAUAACUUGAGGCUUGAUCACAUAAGGAAUGUUUUGCAUCUGAGCUUCAUCUACCUUCCAGCACACUUGAAAAGUUGUUUCCUAUAUUGCAGUUUAUUUCCAGAAGACUAUCUUUUCAAAAGGAAACAACUUGUACGGUUAUGGAUAGCAGAGGGAUUCAUUGAGGAGAGGGGUGAAAGCACAUUAGAAGAAGUGGCAGAAGGCUAUCUGAAGGAGUUAAUUGAUAGAAACAUGCUACAACUUGUUAAAAGGAACUCAUUUGGUAGGACCAAGAAAUUGAGAAUGCAUGAUAUCUUACGAGAAUUGGCCGUUGAUUUGUGUCAAAAGGAUUGUUUUGGUGUUACAUAUGAGGAUAAAUGUGUGGGUUCUCUUGAGAUGGAUGGGCGUCGAUUGGUAAUGCAUAAGCUAAAGAAGGAUAUUCAGCACUCGUUUUCUGGUAUACACCAACUUCGAACCGUCAUUGUAGUGGAUGAUAACAUGCCAUCAUUCACUCUACUACCUCUGUUAUGUAAGAAGUCAAGAUAUAUGACAGUGCUAGAAUUAAGUGGCUUACCCAUUGAGAAGAUUCCAGAUGCUAUUGGAGAUCUUUUUAGUCUCCGCCAUUUAGGUUUGCGUAAUUCAAAAGUGAAGAUGCUCCCGAGGUCUAUUGAAAAGCUUUCAAAUUUGUUGACACUGGACCUUUAUAGAUCAGAUAUACGUUAUUUGCCUAGUGGGGUUGUCAAACCGAAGAAGCUUAGGCACUUAUUUGCUGAGAAAAUGAAUUAUCUAGAUUGGAGGGAUAUUCAUUCUCACAGUGGUAUGACUAUCCCCAUUGGUCUUGGGAAUCUAACAAACCUGCAAACCCUACGAACAUUGGAAGUGCAGGGCGAGUCAGUUAGACAUUUGGGGGAGCUGAGGCAACUGAGAAGCUUGAGGUUAUCAAAUGUAAAGGGAAUCUACUGUGGACGCAUCCGUGAGUCUCUAGUUCAGAUGCAGUAUUUGUCCAAGCUAUCUGUGAAUGCAAGUGAUGAGAACGAGGUUCUCUUGUUGAACGUCCUCCCGCCAAAUCUGCAAACCCUAUCGUUGAGAGGACGAUUAGAGCAAGGGUCGUUGGAUGAGUCUCCUCUCUUCCAAUCUGAUGGAGGACAAAACUUGUGUGCAUUGGCUCUGUCUUGGUCACAACUGAGAAAAGACCCACUGCCAUCGCUUUCUUUGUUGUCGAACUUGACACUUCUACACUUCACCAGAGCGUACAACGGAGAGCAGCUGACAUUUCUCACGGGGUGGUUUCCCAAGCUAAAGAUUCUCUUUCUAAGAGACCUGCCUAAUCUGAACCAGCUAGAGAUACAGCAAGGUGCCAUGGCGGGCCUGGAAAGAUUAUCCCUAGUCAACCUCAACAGCAUGACGGAGGUCCCACCUGGCAUUGAGUUCCUCGUGUCCCUUCAGUAUCUGGUCUUCCACGAAAUCACCGGUGACUUCUUGACGUUGCUGCGCGAAUGCUCCGCGAUUCGAGGGAAGCUGUGGCAUCACACUCUCCGGCUUUGA
Molecule: ribosomal RNA, 2754 nt
Filed under: Triticum aestivum (bread wheat)
Lineage: Eukaryota; Viridiplantae; Streptophyta; Magnoliopsida; Poales; Poaceae
Description: partial small subunit ribosomal RNA
Source: RNAcentral